This 305-nucleotide ribosomal RNA is filed under the name uncultured bacterium. Its description in RNAcentral is "bacterial SSU rRNA". It matches the Rfam family "Bacterial small subunit ribosomal RNA", at positions 336 to 657 of the family's 1533-position model. The record is from RNAcentral.
UUCCUACGGGACGCAGCAGUCGAGAAUCAUUCACAAUGGGGGAAACCCUGAUGGUGCGACGCCGCGUGGGUGAAGGAGCGUUUCGGCGCGUAAAGCCCUGUCAGCGGGGAAGAAGAAAGACGGUACCCGACCAAGAAGCCCCGGCUAACUACGUGCCAGCAGCCGCGGUAAUACGUAGGGGGCGAGCGUUAUCCGGAAUUACUGGGUGUAAAGGGAGCGUAGACGGCGAGGUAAGCCUGAAGUGGAAGCCCGCGGCCCAACCGCGGAACUGCUUUGGGUACUGUUUUGCUGGGGUAUGGGAGGGG